UUGCCUUUAAUAAAUUUGUGAAAGCGCCCGCAAUAACAAGGGCCAAAGUACUUUAUUCCAAUAACAACCAAAAGAAUCCGAACAAUCUAAGAUGUAACCCAGCCCUGCUUGAUUAUGACUACUAUGCUUGCUAUAACAUUAAUCCUGACAUUAUUUACCCUCAAACGCAGCAACAAAUAAAUCAAGAUCAUGCCACCACACAAGUAGCAGAAACCCAAGAACCGGAAGUUCAUGAAGAUAAAUCAUAUGGUUGGACCUUGUCGGGCACACAUCAAACUGGAGAACCUGCUGUUGAACGAACACCUAAUAUUUGGGAGUAUGCUGAUUACGUGACUGGAAAUGGUGAAACAGCCCAUGAGGAAGCGUCCUACUAUAUAUAUGACAUUACCAAUGAGGGAUAUGUCAGUGACGGAGUAGAAAAUGACAACGUCUACGACAGCGUAGCUCUUUUUGAAAUUACUAAUAAUGCCAACGCAGAAGACCAAGCAAAUCAAGAUUAUGAACACACAGGUGAUAGGGAGGCAACUGAAGUUAGUACU
Long non-coding RNA from Hyposmocoma kahamanoa, 539 nucleotides. RefSeq lists it as uncharacterized. The transcript is spliced from 3 exons. NCBI's taxonomy places the organism in Eukaryota, Metazoa, Arthropoda, Insecta, Lepidoptera, Cosmopterigidae. The record is from RefSeq and is a predicted model, not a curated record.